UGAGGAAUAUUGGGCAAUGGAGGCAACUCUGACCCAGCCAUGCCGCGUGCAGGAAGACGGCCCUAUGGGUUGUAAACUGCUUUUAUACAGGAAGAACACCACCCACGUGUGGGUGACUGACGGUACUGUAAGAAUAAGGACCGGCUAACUCCGUGCCAGCAGCCGCGGUAAUACGGAGGGUCCAAGCGUUAUCCGGAAUCAUUGGGUUUAAAGGGUCCGUAGGCGGGCUAAUAAGUCAGAGGUGAAAGUUUGCAGCUCAACUGUAAAAUUGCCUUUGAUACUGUUAGUCUUGAGUUAUAGUGAAGUGGUUAGAAUAAGUGGUGUAGCGGUGAAAUGCAUAGAUAUCACUU
RNAcentral lists this ribosomal RNA (350 nucleotides) under uncultured bacterium. Its description in RNAcentral is "bacterial SSU rRNA". It matches the Rfam family "Bacterial small subunit ribosomal RNA", at positions 355 to 702 of the family's 1533-position model. The record is from RNAcentral.